Long non-coding RNA from Anser cygnoides (Swan goose), 1641 nucleotides. The record is from Ensembl. NCBI's taxonomy places the organism in Eukaryota, Metazoa, Chordata, Aves, Anseriformes, Anatidae.
AAACUGAACUCUUUCCCCACGCAUCCCCACGGUCCCACAGAGACCCUGCGGCCGCCGCAGGGGUGCCGGUGCCCCGAGCAGCCCCGGCGCCUUCCAGUUGUGCCGCGGCAGGAACCUGCUUCCCGCCGGCACCGGCACCGGCCGCGGCCCCGGCCCCUCUGCCCAGCCCGGGUGGCCCAGGCACGGGCGCCUGGGGUGGGCGGAGGAGCCCCCGCGCGGCGGCGGGGCCGGGAGCUGCAUGCGACUUGUGCUCGGUGCUGCACCGGGGACCGGACCCACAGGAGGUGCUGUGGGGUGAGCGGGUCCCACGGAACGCGCCGCAGGGUCCGGGGGGACCCGCGAGCGGCGCUGCCAGGGCGCACGGGGCUCGUGCCCGGUACUGCAGGGCCGUGCAAGGCUUGCUGCCGGCGCCGCACAACCUGCAGACAUCGCCGCAGGGCCGAGCAAGGCUUGCGCCUGGCGCUGCAGGGCCGUGCGGGAGCUGAAGGCAGCGCUGCAGGGCCGUGCCGAGUGCGCACCCCGUGCUGCAGGGCCGUGUGGGACCCGCAAACAGCGCUGCAGGGCCACGCAAGGCUCGCACCUCGCUCUGUAGCGCGAUGCAGGACGGGCGAACAGCGCUAUGAGGCCGUGCAAGGUUUGCACCCCGUGCUGCAGGGCCGUGCGGGACCUGCAGGCAGUGCUGCAGGGCCGUGCAAGGCUCGCCAAUGGUGCUGCAGGGCUGUGCAGCACUCGCACCCAGCACUGCAAGGCCGUGUAGCGCUCCCACCCGCUGCCGCGGGCCCCGGGGGAGCAGCAGGCAGCACUGCAGGGCUGUGCCGCUCACAGCUGGCGCUGCAGGAUGUGCGCAGCACCAAGCAGCGCCUGCGAAUGGAGCUGCAGGGCACCGCCGCACCUGCCCCCAGCGCUGCAGGGCUGCGCAGGACCGCGCAGGACCCACACCCAGCACCACGCAGGGCCUGCGGCGGUGCAGCAGACCCACGCGAGACUCGCCCCAUGCUGCGGGGCCGUGUGGGACCCAGCCCUGGGGCCAAGCUGGAGCCCACGGCCACAGCUCAGACCCCAGGGCUGGAGGGGGCCACAUCCUGCCUGCCCCCAGCCCACAGCCACGGUGCCCUGCAGAGCAUCUCAGCCUGGUGCCACCCGCGCCUGCCGCCACACACCGACACAGGGGCCCAGGAGCCCCUCCUAGCACCAUGUGGAGGGAGCCGGGGGGGGGCCGGGGCGCCCCCCCACCUGCCCCCACCGCUGUCGGUCCUAGCACCUCUCCGAGCACCCCGCGGCACCCACGGGUGCCCGCUCGCCACCAGCGCGGCUCGCUGCGAAUUAGCCAGCACCCCGCACCGAGCUGCCGGCGGCCCUCCAGCGGCGGCCGGGGGGGUCCCAGGGGAUGGGCGGCCUGGCCCCCGCCCCCCACGCACGGGCCCCCCCGGCGCCUUUCACAGUUACAGGAAGAGACGGCGACGGGGCCGGAGACCUCUCCGAGCCUCCCCGCGCCUUAGCACCAGUCCCUGCGCUCCCCCGGCGGAGCCCCUCUCCCUCAGAACACCGGAUCCGGCCCCCGAGCCUGGGCUGGGCACGCACCCGCACCCCGAGCCGGACCCCGCUGCCGUGCCGCAGCACCUACAGCUGCCAGACAAGUAG